GAUGAACGCUGGCGGCGUGCCUAACACAUGCAAGUCGAACGGAGUCCAGCCUUCGAGACCUUCGGGUCCAAGAGGGGAAGACUGAGUGGCGGACGGGUGAGUAACACGUGGGCAACCUGGCUCAUAGAGGGGGAUAACAGAGAGAAAUUUCUGCUAAUACCGCAUAAGCACACACUGCCGCAUGGCAGAGUGUGAAAAGAGAAUCGCUAUGAGAUGGACCCGCGUCUGAUUAGCCAGUUGGCAGGGUAAGAGCCUACCAAAGCGACGAUCAGUAGCCGAUUGGAGAGGAGGAACGGCCAAAUGGGGACGGGGACACGGCCCAAACUCCUACGGAAGGCAGCAGUGGGGGAUAUUGCACAAGGGGGGAACCCUGAUGCAGCGACGCCGCGUGAGUGAAGAAGUAUUUCGGUAUGUAAAGCUCUAUCAGCAGGGAAGAUAAUGACAGUACCUGAAUAAGAAGCCCCGGCUAACUACGUG
This 477-nucleotide ribosomal RNA is filed under the name uncultured bacterium. RNAcentral's name for it is "partial 16S ribosomal RNA". It matches the Rfam family "Bacterial small subunit ribosomal RNA", at positions 28 to 507 of the family's 1533-position model. The record is from RNAcentral.